RNAcentral lists this ribosomal RNA (492 nucleotides) under uncultured bacterium. RNAcentral describes it as "partial 16S ribosomal RNA". It matches the Rfam family "Bacterial small subunit ribosomal RNA", at positions 29 to 507 of the family's 1533-position model. The record is from RNAcentral.
AGUGAACGCUGGCGGUAGGCCUAACACAUGCAAGUCGAGCGGCAGCACAGUAAGAUCUCUCUCUUACGGGUGGCGGGGGGCGGACGGGUGAGGAAUAGAUCAGAAUCUACUUUGACGUGGGUAAUAACGGGGAGAAGCUGACGCUAAUAGCGCAUACGACGUACGGGUGAGAUCAGUGGAGCUUCGGACCUUUCGCGAUUGAAUGAGCUGAUGUCGGAUUAGCUAGUUGGCGGGGUAAAGGCACACCAAGGCGACGAUCCGUAGCUGGUCUGAGAGGAUGAUCAGCCACACUGGAACUGAGACACGGUCCAGACUCCUACGGGAGGCAGCAGUGGGGAAUAUUGGACAAUGGGCGCAAGCCUGAUCCAGCAAUACCGCGUGGGUGAAGAAGGCCUUCGGGUUGUAAAGCCCUUUUGUUGGGAAAGAAAAGCAGCAGGUUAAUACCCCGCUGUUCUGACGGUACCCAAAGAAUAAGCACCGGCUAACUUCGUG